UUACACAUUCUUUGUGGAACUGUUUCGAUAAGCUUCUGCAAUGUCAAAAGAUUUAUUUUUCACCAAGAUCUUGCAGCAGCAUUGAUGAUGGUAGAAUCUGACCGCUGCACAAAGUCAUGUCCAGCACAUCCCAAAGAUUCUCAAUGGGGUUAAGGUCUGGACUCAUGUUGGACUAAUGAUGAUCUCAUACUGCCUGAACCACUCUUUCACAAUUCCAGCCCCAUGAAUCCUGGCAUUGUCAUCUUGGAAUAUGCUCGUGCCAUCAGGGAAGAAAAAAACUUUAGCAUUUAACCAAAAGGUUAUUGGAUACUGCUAUAUUAGACAAAAGUAGUAACAUCCCAACAUUUUAGGCAAAUGUUGUUGUUGUUUUUUUUGGCAUUUAACCAAGGAUAGCAACCACUUUUUACACUCUUCAGACUUUUCCAAGCCAACAUAAAGCUUUCCCUUUCUUGUUUAAAUUUGAAAUGUAAUUUGUAAGUGGAUGUUCGGUUGUUGUGAGCUAAUGUUAGUUAGUGUGGGGGGUGUGCUGUGUUGUGGGUUUUUGAGAGUGAAGCAGUGAGUUAGCUGGGUUAAGUGGCUCGGUGUGAUGUGAUUUGGGAGUGGACCGAAGACAGUCUCGUCUACUUGCCCGAGUCUCGCGAUGCCUUGGCUUGUCCUGCUGCUGCUGCUGUAAGAUGGCGAAGGCGUGCACGCUCGCUGUCUCUCAGGUUUCAAGAAGCUUUGAAGUUUGUCAAAAAAUCGCUUGGGCUUUGGUUGGUUGUGAGCUGUGUGCUGCUGCAGUGCUGGGAACCGUGGGCUGCAGUGCUGGGAGAUGUGGGCUGAGGUAGUAGUUUGUAUAGUUUGGGAUCACACCAGAUCUGGGAGAUAACUAUACAGUCUACUGUCUUUCUCACAGCUUCUGCUUUACUUCAUGCUCUACUCACAGAAAUUCUGGACUCUGAAGCUGUGUUACUUUACAGUUUGUGGUUGUGUGUGGCUUUGUUGUGCUGAGGUAGUAAGUUGUGUUGUUGUGGGGACAUUGUAUUAUUUGCCCCGACUGGAGAUAACUAUACAUCUUACUGCCUUCCACACUGGAGUCUUUGUACCCCUAUGACUUUAUUCAGAAUGUAAAUUAAUUUUGGUUGUUUAAUUUGCUAUUAUCAAGCACUGCUGUAUACUUAUUUCAUGUAUUUGAUUUGAUGUAAUGGCCUUCUUCUGAUUUUGUCUUCUGUUGUGAAAGUAUUAAUAAACACAUUUUAUGAAUGAA
Astyanax mexicanus (Mexican tetra) is the source of this 1246-nucleotide long non-coding RNA. RefSeq lists it as uncharacterized. Lineage: Eukaryota; Metazoa; Chordata; Actinopteri; Characiformes; Acestrorhamphidae. The record is from RefSeq and is a predicted model, not a curated record. The transcript is spliced from 3 exons.